CGGAGAUUUCCGCGCCAUCAUGAAGAUGACAUGUGAUCGUAAUGAACAGACACCUGCUCUGUUUUGACGACUUUCUAGUCGACAAACUCGUUAACGUUAACAAGGAGCCAGAGGGUUUCGAAUCACCUAAGCCAACACCCAGUGAGAUAAUUACGAGUGCUGACGCACUGAGGUAGUUCCUCUCUACUGCAGUCAGCAGAACUGCUCUGCAGAGUAGCCAACCCCCCCAGACCCAGCCUGCAAACAGUCA
Long non-coding RNA from Sinocyclocheilus rhinocerous, 250 nucleotides. RefSeq lists it as uncharacterized. The record is from RefSeq and is a predicted model, not a curated record. The transcript has 3 exons. NCBI's taxonomy places the organism in Eukaryota, Metazoa, Chordata, Actinopteri, Cypriniformes, Cyprinidae.